AGGGCGGGACACGUGGUAUCCUGUCUGAAUAUGGGGGGACCAUCCUCCAAGGCUAAAUACUCCUGACUGACCGAUAGUGAACCAGUACCGUGAGGGAAAGGCGAAAAGAACCCCGGCGAGGGGAGUGAAAAAGAACCUGAAACCGUGUACGUACAAGCAGUGGGAGCACGCUUAGGCGUGUGACUGCGUACCUUUUGUAUAAUGGGUCAGCGACUUAUAUUCUGUAGCAAGGUUAACCGAAUAGGGGAGCCGAAGGGAAACCGAGUCUUAACUGGGCGUUAAGUUGCAGGGUAUAGACCCGAAACCCGGUGAUCUAGCCAUGGGCAGGUUGAAGGUUGGGUAACACUAACUGGAGGACCGAACCGACUAAUGUUGAAAAAUUAGCGGAUGACUUGUGGCUGGGGGUGAAAGGCCAAUCAAACCGGGAGAUAGCUGGUUCUCCCCGAAAGCUAUUUAGGUAGCGCCUCGUGAAUUCAUCUCCGGGGGUAGAGCACUGUUUCGGCAAGGGGGUCAUCCCGACUUACCAACCCGAUGCAAACUGCGAAUACCGGAGAAUGUUAUCACGGGAGACACACGGCGGGUGCUAACGUCCGUCGUGAAGAGGGAAACAACCCAGACCGCCAGCUAAGGUCCCAAAGUCAUGGUUAAGUGGGAAACGAUGUGGGAAGGCCCAGACAGCCAGGAUGUUGGCUUAGAAGCAGCCAUCAUUUAAAGAAAGCGUAAUAGCUCACUGGUCGAGUCGGCCUGCGCGGAAGAUGUAACGGGGCUAAACCAUGCACCGAAGCUGCGGCAGCGACGCUUAUGCGUUGUUGGGUAGGGGAGCGUUCUGUAAGCCUGCGA
Molecule: ribosomal RNA, 840 nt
Filed under: Escherichia coli
Lineage: Bacteria; Pseudomonadati; Pseudomonadota; Gammaproteobacteria; Enterobacterales; Enterobacteriaceae
Description: partial 23S ribosomal RNA
Rfam family: Bacterial large subunit ribosomal RNA
Source: RNAcentral